GCACGGGCCGUCCUCCCCAACAAUAUCCUGGUGCUGAGUGAUGACACACGCAACUCCAGCAUCAGUGAUUUUGUUGAAGAGGGCAGCUGCCA
MicroRNA precursor from Bos grunniens (domestic yak), 92 nucleotides. Lineage: Eukaryota; Metazoa; Chordata; Mammalia; Artiodactyla; Bovidae. The record is from Ensembl.